GAUGAACGCUGGCGGCGUGCCUAAUACAUGCAAGUCGAGCGAACGGACGAGAAGCUUGCUUCUCUGAUGUUAGCGGCGGACGGGUGAGUAACACGUGGAUAACCUACCUAUAAGACUGGGAUAACUUCGGGAAACCGGAGCUAAUACCGGAUAAUAUUUUGAACCGCAUGGUUCAAAAGUGAAAGACGGUCUUGCUGUCACUUAUAGAUGGAUCCGCGCUGCAUUAGCUAGUUGGUAAGGUAACGGCUUACCAAGGCAACGAUGCAUAGCCGACCUGAGAGGGUGAUCGGCCACACUGGAACUGAGAAACGGUCCAGACUCCUACGGGAGGCAGCAGUAGGGAAUCUUCCGCGAUGGGCGAAAGCCUGACGGAGCAACGCCGCGUGAGUGAUGAAGGUCUUCGGAUCGUAGAACUCUGUUAUUAGGGAAGAACAUAUGUGUAAGUAACUGUGCACAUCUUGACGGUACCUAAUCAGAAAGCCACGGCUAACUACGUG
RNAcentral lists this ribosomal RNA (497 nucleotides) under uncultured bacterium. Its description in RNAcentral is "partial 16S ribosomal RNA". It matches the Rfam family "Bacterial small subunit ribosomal RNA", at positions 28 to 507 of the family's 1533-position model. The record is from RNAcentral.